CCCACCGCCCCCCCUCAGCCUCACUCCUUUCUUGCUGCUUUUCAGGCAGAAGAGUAUGAAAGUUCUGAGAGCAGUGAUUUUCAUCCAUCAACUUUAGAAUUUCGUCAGUUUCUGGAAGGAGCUGAACAGAGGAAGCAAGCGAACCUAAGCAGUUCCCUGUCUUUGCUGGGGUUUCUGUUUAUUGCUCCACUCCCUGCCCAUCAGUGAAGC
Molecule: long non-coding RNA, 210 nt
Organism: Bos indicus x Bos taurus (hybrid cattle)
Lineage: Eukaryota; Metazoa; Chordata; Mammalia; Artiodactyla; Bovidae
Source: Ensembl